UACCCUUAGUUGCCAGCGGGUCAUGCCGGGAACUCUAAGGGAACUGCCGGUGAUAAACCGGAGGAAGGUGGGGAUGACGUCAAGUCCUCAUGGCCUUUAUAUCCUGGGCUACACACGUGCUACAAUGGCCGGUACAGAGGGUUGCGAUACCGUGAGGUGGAGCUAAUCCCAUAAAGCCGGUCUCAGUUCAGAUUGAAGUCUGCAACUCGACUUCAUGAAGGUGGAAUCGCUAGUAAUCGCGGAUCAGCAUGCCGCGGUGAAUACGUUCCCGGGCCUUGUACACACCGCCCGUCACACCACGAAAGUUGAUUGUACUAGAAGUCGCCGAGCCAACCUUCACGGGGAGCAGGUGCCCAAGGUAUGAUCAAUGAUUGGGGUGAAAGCGUAACAAGGUA
Molecule: ribosomal RNA, 395 nt
Filed under: uncultured delta proteobacterium
Lineage: Bacteria; Deltaproteobacteria
Description: bacterial SSU rRNA
Rfam family: Bacterial small subunit ribosomal RNA
Source: RNAcentral